RNAcentral lists this ribosomal RNA (274 nucleotides) under uncultured bacterium. RNAcentral's name for it is "partial 16S ribosomal RNA". It matches the Rfam family "Bacterial small subunit ribosomal RNA", at positions 523 to 796 of the family's 1533-position model. The record is from RNAcentral.
AUACGGAGGGGGCUAGCGUUGUUCGGAAUUACUGGGCGUAAAGCGCGCGUAGGCGGCCUGUCUAGUCGGGCGAGAAAGCCCGGGGCUCAACCCCGGAGGUGCGCACGAAACUGGCGGGCUCGAGACCGGAAGAGGAGAGUGGAAUUCCCAGUGUAGAGGUGAAAUUCGUAGAUAUUGGGAAGAACACCAGUGGCGAAGGCGGCUCUCUGGUCCGGUACUGACGCUGAGGCGCGAAAGCGUGGGGAGCAAACAGGAUUAGAAACCCCGGUAGUCC